UACGAAGGGGGCUAGCGUUGCUCGGAAUUACUGGGCGUAAAGGGCGCGUAGGCGGAUACUUAAGUCAGUGGUGAAAGCCCUUCGCUUAACGAAGGAACUGCCAUUGAUACUGCAAAUCUUGAGUACAUUUGAUGAGGGCGGAAUGUGUCAUGUAGCGGUGAAAUGCUUAGAUAUGACACAGAACACCGAUUGCGAAGGCAGCUCUCAAAACUGUAACUGACGCUGAGGCACGAAAGCGUGGGUAUCAAACAGG
This 253-nucleotide ribosomal RNA is filed under the name uncultured bacterium. Its description in RNAcentral is "partial 16S ribosomal RNA". It matches the Rfam family "Bacterial small subunit ribosomal RNA", at positions 524 to 776 of the family's 1533-position model. The record is from RNAcentral.